GUGGGGAAUAUUGCACAAUGGAGGGAACUCUGAUGCAGCAACGCCGCGUGAAGGAAGAAGGUUUUCGGAUCGUAAACUUCUAUCAACAGGGACGAAAAAAAUGACGGUACCUGAAUAAGAAGCCCCGGCUAACUACGUGCCAGCAGCCGCGGUAAUACGUAGGGGGCAAGCGUUAUCCGGAAUUACUGGGUGUAAAGGGAGAGUAGGCGGCAUGACAAGCAAGAUAUGAAAGCCCGGGGCUUAACCGCGGGACUGCAUAAUGAACUGUCAGGCUAGAGUACAGGAGAGGUAAGCGGAAGUCCUAGUGUAGCGGUGAAAUGCGUAGAUAGUAGGAAGAACACCGGUGGCGAAGGCGGCUUACUGGACUGAAACUGACGCUGAGGCUCGAAAGCGUGGGGAGCGAACAGGAUUAGAAACCCCAGUAGUCC
Molecule: ribosomal RNA, 428 nt
Filed under: uncultured bacterium
Lineage: Bacteria
Description: partial 16S ribosomal RNA
Rfam family: Bacterial small subunit ribosomal RNA
Source: RNAcentral